This 269-nucleotide ribosomal RNA is filed under the name uncultured prokaryote. Its description in RNAcentral is "partial 16S ribosomal RNA". It matches the Rfam family "Bacterial small subunit ribosomal RNA", at positions 524 to 792 of the family's 1533-position model. The record is from RNAcentral.
UACGUAGGAGGCAAGCGUUAUCCGGAUUUACUGGGCGUAAAGAGGGCGUAGGCGGUUCUUCAAGUCAGAUGUAAAAUCUCCCAGCUUAACUGGGAGGGACCAUUUGAUACUGUUGGGCUAGAGGGCAACAGGGGGAGGUAGAAUUCCCGGUGUAGUGGUGGAAUGCGUAGAUAUCGGGAGGAAUACCAGUAGCGAAGGCGGCCUCCUGGGUUGUUGCUGACGCUGAGGCCCGAAAGCGUGGGGAGCGAACAGGAUUAGAUACCCGCGUA